AGACUUUAUAGCAUUGCAAACAUAUAUUAAAGCACUGCACAAAAAAAAUUCUAAUUAAUGAAAAUUCUGUGAUCCUUAUUCAUUACGUCAGGCAUGCAGAUGGCUGGUACACAGACAUGAACAUAGCUCAAAUCCUGUCUUCUAACCAUAACCAUAUAUGUAUAAAAGACUGAGUAAUAUGGGGUGGCCCUUCUCCCAAACCUAGCAUUCUAUAGUAUUUGAACGUAUCUGGUGGGCUGAAUUAUAAAUUACUCUCUCUUUAUUCUUUGCUUACAAAGGCUCAAAUACCAAACUGAUAUAUUUUUUAAGUGCCAGAAUGUUAUUGGCAAUCAAGGAAAGAAGAGCCAGAGAAUAACAACUACAACAGAUGAAGUGGUGAUGUCUAAAAAUUAUCUGAGAAACAUCUGUCAUUCUUACUGAAAACUGUGGAAAGAAAAUCCUUUGGAAGGCUGAGUUUCUUGGCAUCAUCAAGGAAUUUACAGACAGAAACACUCCAUCAUCUCAAAAGGCUUCAGCUAAGGAAAUCAGUCUAACGACUGAGUACCCAUGGCUCGAGGAAGACAAUGAUGCCUGGAGUAGGAUGCUGUUCAGCAGGAUCUCAUAAUCUCACCAAUGCUUCAGCCCCAAGGCAGCUCACAGCAGAGGUUUCUCCAGGAAGGAAGCUGGAGCAGGCAGGGAAAAGGAAGGAUGCUCAGGCUGGUUUGAGAGCAAAGAGAAGACUCUCUGGACACCCAGAUCUGACCAUAUUGCCCUAAUCUGCUCAAUUCUGGCCACACUCCCUACUUGCCUAUUAUAAGAUUUUUGUUCUCAGUUCUGUGCCUGGUACUUUCCCUCACUAGUAACUGUGGAAUAAAGGCUAUAAGCACCUGGA
This is a long non-coding RNA of Lemur catta (Ring-tailed lemur), 871 nucleotides long. RefSeq lists it as uncharacterized. Lineage: Eukaryota; Metazoa; Chordata; Mammalia; Primates; Lemuridae. The transcript has 2 exons. The record is from RefSeq and is a predicted model, not a curated record.